This 253-nucleotide ribosomal RNA is filed under the name uncultured bacterium. RNAcentral's name for it is "partial 16S ribosomal RNA". It matches the Rfam family "Bacterial small subunit ribosomal RNA", at positions 524 to 776 of the family's 1533-position model. The record is from RNAcentral.
UACGUAGGGUGCGAGCGUUGUCCGGAAUUAUUGGGCGUAAAGAGCUCGUAGGCGGUUUGUUGCGUCUAUCGUGAAAACCUGCAGCUUAACUGUGGGCUUGCGGUGGAUACGGGCAGACUUGAGUUCGGUAGGGGAGACUGGAAUUCCUGGUGUAGCGGUGAAAUGCGUAGAUAUCUGGAGGAACACCGGUGGCGAAGGCGGCGUCCUGGACCAACACUGACACUGAGGAGCGAAAGCCAGGGGAGCAAACGGG